This 2830-nucleotide long non-coding RNA is filed under the name Homo sapiens (human). RNAcentral's name for it is "HSALNT0369400". The record is from RNAcentral. Lineage: Eukaryota; Metazoa; Chordata; Mammalia; Primates; Hominidae.
AAUAUUUGCAGAGUGGUUCAGCUCCUUUCUCUCUCCUGCCUCUCAAAAAGAUGCUAUUCCUGUGAUUAAAACCAUUACAGUGCUUCAAAGGUUAUACAUGACUUUCAGGCUUCAACCUCAAUAGAAGCAGGAUUAAUGGUUGUAUUCCACCACCUUGACUGUGAGUGGAAAGAAGAAAGAGAAGACCAUUGCUGAGGAGCUCUUUGAGAUUACUUAUAGUGCUGGAUGAGGCCAUCAUUGGGCAGAGAGAAGCCAUUUAGCAGAAUCUAAGGAAUCAUGCUCCUGUGCACUGUGGUUCCUGAUGCUUGGCGCUCCCCCCCUUUUAUAGCUUUUCUUUCUCAUUUCCAUUACCCUGAAUGUCUCAACUUUGCCUCUCAGAUAACUGACGGAACAUGUUGCCUUCCCAUGAAUAAUCUGUAUGAAACCAGUAAGUUGAUGAAAGACAACAUCAUACAAUACAGCAAGGCUAGCUCCUUUCAGCACUGCUCCUAUAAAAUAUUAUCUCCUAAGACACAUGGGUUAUCUAUCUUGUCUAGGUCUUUUACCUUCCAUUGGCAAAUGCACCAGGAUCACUACUUAGCUGAAGUAAUGGCUUAUGAAUGCUGUAACCUAUAGGAAAUUAUGCUGAUGACAAGAAGACAUUUAUUUUACUGUGGUGGCAUCAGAGUGUGAUAGACUCACCUAUCAAAUGAAGAAACACUUGAUACAAUUUCAAAACCACAAAACUAAUCAGCUAGCUUUAAAAUGAUGAAAUUAUUGGGUAAAAUUAAUCAAACCAAUGAUUUGUAUAAAAUUAAACAAACAUUUUAGCCAAAGAAAUUUGUUAUUUCUCUACAAACAUCUAUGUAGCAAACUACAUGCCCCCUCUAUUUCUUCAAGAUGCAAAGUUUCCUUGACUACAUGUAGAGGCUGUGGAGGCUGGCUUUUUAUACAAUUAGUAUUUCCAUAACCCAAUGAGAAUUUCUGGCUAAAAAUGGUGGGACAAUCCGUCUUUCUCCAGUCAUAACUCUCACUGAAGUCUAUUAGCAGUUCAAGAUACACUGAGCAACAGCUCGCCAGGAUCUGGGCAACACAUGAAGUCUUACAUUUUCAAGUGGUGCCCCAGAAAUACCCUGUUCAUGCAAUUCUUUAAGACGAAUAAACUGGGGCUUUUGAGGGCCUGGCACAAACAAUGUAGAAUGUUGUGAUCCUCUCAGUGAAAUUCUAGAGAAAUAAUUUCUCCUAAAUAAAAAUGUUUCUAAAAUAUUUUAUUAUAACCUAUCCAAAAAAGCUAUUAAACUUUAAAAAUUUACUAACUAUAAAAUAUUAAUAUAUUUAUAUAUGUUGUUUUACACAAAACUUCAACAACCCCUCAAGGAUGAUACUCUUAUCAAUAUUUUCCCAACAAAGGAAACUCAGAUUUAUAGAAAUUAAAUUAUUUUCUCAAGUGACAGAGCCAAGAUUUGAACCCAGGUCUAAAUCCCAUAUUUGUAAUGUAAUGUUAUGAAAUCCUGUUCUGUAAUGUUGGAAUCCUGGCCUAGCCACUUAAAUACUGAAAGAAUCUGGGUGUUGGUUUCCUCAUCUGUAAAAUGGAGUCAACAUUAGGGCUUAAGUCAGAGUUUCUCAUCCUCAGGACCACUGACAUUACGGGCUGUUUUGUGCAUUGUGGAAAUUUAGCAGCAUUCCUAAUCUUUGCCCACUAGAUGCCAGUAGCAUGCACCACCACCACUACCAUCCUGUUAUGGCAGCCAAAAAUGGCUCCAGACUUUGCCAAAUAUCCCCUGGGGUAUAAAAUCCCUCUGAGAAGCACUGACCUAACUUAAAGGAUAGUUAAGAUGAGAUGACAGAUGUUUGUGUAACAAACCUUCACAGGUACUCCUAAACCUAAAAGAAAAAAUUUUAAAAACCCACAAAUAUUACUAGAGAGGCUAAUUAACAUUUAAAUGAGUUUAUAUUUUAAAACAUCUAGACAUGGAUUAAUACAUUUACUAAUAAAUGUUCCAACUUUGAUAAAUAUGUUGAGAUUAUAAAUGAAUUACAAAAAUGUCUUACCUAAAGUCUUAACAGGGUCAGAAUAAUCAGAGUCAGUAAAUUGUCCCAUAAUAUUUGUAGCUCUAAAUUUAAAUCUAUAAAAUAAAAAAAGAAAAAUCAACACUUUGCAUAUCAUGUGAUUUUUCCUAUGAAUAACUCAAGAAGUAAUUAUAAAAACUAUUUAUUUAAUUCAAAAGAAAAUGAAUUUACAAGAUGAAAAUUUGGAAUGGAAUCAUCAUCAGGAGAAAUAUAUGCUAUAUUUAUAUGAGACAAAUAAUUAUCUCGUACUUUGACCCAUUGAAUUUGAUGAGGCAGGGGCUAAAAAUUUGGUAAACUCGUGAGCAGUUAGCAGUUUGAACAACUGAAUCAGCUCACCUCCUUCAAGGAUUUGUUUAGAUGGAAUGAUUUGAUAUCUGUGAAGGGUGUUACACUAACAUAAUUUAUAAAUAAAAGGCAUAACUGUUAUACCUCAAUCACUUUUGCAAAUGCUAGUGAAUUAGAUUAAAAUGAUGAUAUAGAACUUGUCUUGUUCACAUAUAAACACAUUAAGAAAAUGUUUGUUAUUUCUGUGUGUGCACAGUUGCAUUUGUAUACUUUUUUGCUUCCAUAGCAUUUGAAGUAAAGGAUACAGAAGAAGAUCAAGCUUAAAAAUUACAAAAAGAAUCUAAGAUCCUCAGAGACAAUUGAAAUUUACUUAAUUUAAAAAUAAAGGCACAAGGGCAUUUAAAAACAUAAAACCAAUACGUUGCAAUACAUGAUUGAACCUCUACCAUUAUAAAAUUCUUAUGAUUUUAUUUGUUAUAUGAAGAGUCUGUUUCAG